AUUGAACGCUGGCGGCAUGCUUUACACAUGCAAGUCGAACGGCAGCGCGGGCUUCGGCCUGGCGGCGAGUGGCGAACGGGUGAGUAAUACAUCGGAACGUGCCCAGUAGUGGGGGAUAGCUCGGCGAAAGCCGGAUUAAUACCGCAUACGACCUGAGGGUGAAAGCGGGGGAUCUUCGGACCUCGCGCUAUUGGAGCGGCCGCUGGCCGAUUAGCUAGUUGGUGGGGUAAAGGCCUCCAAGGCGCCGAUCUGUAGCUGGUCUGAGAGGACGACCAGCCACACUGGGACUGAGACACGGCCCAGACUCCUACGGGAGGCAGCAGUGGGGAAUUUUGGACAAUGGGCGAAAGCCUGAUCCAGCAAUGCCGCGUGUGUGAUGAAGGCCUUCGGGUUGUAAAGCACUUUUGGCGGUAACGAAAAGGACUGUGCCAAUACCACGGUUCGAUGACGGUACCCGCAGAAUAAGCACCGGCUAACUACGUG
RNAcentral lists this ribosomal RNA (483 nucleotides) under uncultured bacterium. Its description in RNAcentral is "partial 16S ribosomal RNA". It matches the Rfam family "Bacterial small subunit ribosomal RNA", at positions 29 to 507 of the family's 1533-position model. The record is from RNAcentral.